CGUACAACUCUUAUCGAUAAGCCAUUGGAGGGCAAGUCUGGUGCCAGCAGCCGCGGUAAUUCCAGCUCCAAUAGCGUAUAUUAACGUUGUUGCAGUUAAAAAGCUCGUAGUUGAAGUGAGGGAGUGUGUAGUAGGACCGACUUGAUCGGAACUGCUGCAACCUCCCCCCUCCAAUCGGUGUAGUGGGGUAUUCAGUUAUUCUACUACUCCUUUGGUCGUUUACUGUGAGAAAAUUAGAGUGUUCAAAGCGGGCGUUUGUUUGAAUAGAUUAGCAUGGAAUAAUGAUUGAAGGCUUUCGUGUUCGAUUUGAUUGGUUUGUUCAUGGAAGCAAGGUUAAAAGGAACAGUUGGGGGUAUUCAUAUUCACUAGUUAGAGGUGAAAUUCUCGGAUUUAUGGAA
This 398-nucleotide ribosomal RNA is filed under the name Blastocystis hominis. RNAcentral's name for it is "SSU rRNA". It matches the Rfam family "Eukaryotic small subunit ribosomal RNA", at positions 524 to 933 of the family's 1831-position model. The record is from RNAcentral. Lineage: Eukaryota; Bigyra; Opalinata; Blastocystidae.